CCUUUGAGUGCGUUGUUGGAGCUGUACACUACCGCCUCCCCUGAUCUUAGGACGGGUCCUGCAGGAGAUUCUCCAGCGGUUGGCAGGAGCGUCUGGGCGCUUUGGUAGAGCGCCCGGAGAGCGCUGUUCUUCUCUACUGGGGGGGAGAACCAUCCCCUAGCUUGAAGAGACUCACUGUUGCAGACUUUCCACAGCAAGAAUGACGUUCCUGUUCUUAUGCUGCAGCUCUUUGCUUCUGGGUCAGAGCGAUCUGCUGUGGGGCGAAGAUCUCCAUUAAGGUGCAUCAAAGCUGCCUGGUGGUGUUGGAGCACAGUUACCGCCCUUUGUGGCCUGUGUUUCCGUUCUCGUGUGUUGGCAAAGACUGACGGAGAAAGUGUGGAGCAGGGAACCCUGAUUUUGUUGGAUCAUCGUCAGCUUCCAAGGAAAAGCCGCUGAAGGGAUAUGGAAAUGCUCCUCCUUGGAUGAUUGGAAGGAAGAGGCAUCCAUGAUCUGAAUCAAGCCUGAUGAUGCUUCAUUCAUCCUUCUAAUUUGCACCACUUCAGUUUCUAUGUGCUCAUCCCCAUCAUCCUUGUCAGUGGCACUUUCAGAUUCUUGGCUAGGGUUUCCAUGACAAAAUACUAUGGCCUGGGGAACGUAAGCAACAGUCAUUUCUUCUCUCACGGUUCUGGAGGCUGGACCUCCAAGAUCAAGGUGACGACAACAGGGAUGGCUUCGAGGGUGUCCUCUCUUGCCUGCCUCUAGAUGGCUGCCUUCAGGCUCUGUCCUCACAUGGCCUUUCCUCUAAGUCUCCACGUAAUAAGCCCUGGUCUCGUCUGUUAUUGCCCCACCCUUAGGAUAUUAAGAAGCAACAGCUCUUUCUGUCUCCCCAUUCAAGGCUUUACACUCUAUGCAUCUAGUGUGUGAAUAAACAAUUCUUUGAGGACAUCAACCUCACCCAGUUUCUUUUGUUUAUGUAUGUAUCUUUUUAGGGCUGCACCUGUGGCACAUGGGCGUUCCCAGUCUAUGUAGGGGUCAGUCGGAGCUUCAGUGGAUGAUCCAUGUCUCAGCAACAGCAGAAUUGGAGCUGAGCCACUUCAGAGACCUACAUCACAGCUCACAGCAACACCUGAACCUCACCCCACAGAGCAAGGCCAGGGAUUGAACCCACCUGCUCAUGGAUCGGAUGCAUUGCUGCUGCUCCACCACGGGACCUCAGACCUUAGAGAAUUUCGCACUACACCUUCCUCAGAGAGGCUGAACCGGCAGUAUCUGAAUGAACUCAGCCAAUUCCAGACCCACUGGCACCAUCUGAAAUAAUAAUAAAUGUUGAUGUUUGAAACUGC
This 1322-nucleotide long non-coding RNA is filed under the name Sus scrofa (pig). Lineage: Eukaryota; Metazoa; Chordata; Mammalia; Artiodactyla; Suidae. The record is from RNAcentral.